This 468-nucleotide ribosomal RNA is filed under the name uncultured bacterium. RNAcentral describes it as "partial 16S ribosomal RNA". It matches the Rfam family "Bacterial small subunit ribosomal RNA", at positions 28 to 507 of the family's 1533-position model. The record is from RNAcentral.
GACGAACGCUGGCGGCGUGCUUAACACAUGCAAGUCGAACGGAAAGGCCCUGCUUUUGUGGGGUGCUCGAGUGGCGAACGGGUGAGUAACACGUGAGUAACCUGCCCUUGACUUUGGGAUAACUUCAGGAAACUGGGGCUAAUACCGGAUAGGAGCUCCUGCUGCAUGGGGGGGGUUGGAAAGUUUCGGCGGUUGGGGAUGGACUCGCGGCUUAUCAGCUUGUUGGUGGGGUAGUGGCUUACCAAGGCUUUGACGGGUAGCCGGCCUGAGAGGGUGACCGGCCACAGUGGGACUGCGAUACGGCCCAGACUCCUACGGGAGGCAGCAGUCGGGAAUCUUGCACAAUGGGCGGACGCCUGAUGCAGCAACGCCGCGUGCGGGAUGCCGGCUUUCGAGUUGUAAACCGCUUUCGCCUGUGCCGAAGCGUGAGUGACGGUAAUGGGUAAAGAAGCACCGGCUAACUACGUG